AUGACAAGGAGUCGUGCCAAACAAAUAGAAACUGAGGUGAACACGAUCCUAGCUGAUCAUAAUUCAACUAUCCAUGAGAACUUUAUACUGCCUAAAUCUUGUGUGCUGAUUUUACUCAGGUACAAUAUUGAGGACAACCAACAACUUUCAGCACAUGAAGAAACAAGUUCAGCUCAUGAAGAAGCAAGUUCUAAAGCCCAUACAACAAGUUUGAAGAGAACAAGUUUUAGCUCUGAUGUAAACCAUGCUUUGGUGACAAGGGCAACUAGUUACACCUCAAGGAAGAAUAGCAAGACAUCUCAACACAUUAUUGUUGCAUGCACAGUUCUAGAAUUUGUCCCAGAACUUGUUGCAUCAUGCAACACAAAUAUAUGA
Molecule: ribosomal RNA, 375 nt
Filed under: Triticum aestivum (bread wheat)
Lineage: Eukaryota; Viridiplantae; Streptophyta; Magnoliopsida; Poales; Poaceae
Description: partial small subunit ribosomal RNA
Source: RNAcentral